AUUGAACGCUGGCGGCAGGCCUAACACAUGCAAGUCGAACGGUAGCACAGGAGAGCUUGCUCUCUGGGUGACGAGUGGCGGACGGGUGAGUAAUGCAUGGGGAGCUGCCCAAUCGAGGGGGAUACCAGCUGGAAACGGCUGCUAAUACCGCAUACGCCCUGAGGGGGAAAGGUGGGGACCUUCGGGCCUACCGCGAGUGGAUGCACCCAUGUGGGAUUAGCUAGUUGGUGAGGUAACGGCUCACCAAGGCGACGAUCUAUAGCUGGUCUGCGAGGAUGACUAGCCACACUGGAACUGAGACACGGUCCAGACUCCGACGGGAGGCAGCAGUGGGGAAUAUUGCACAAUGGGGGAAACCCUGAUGCAGCCAUGCCGCGUGUGUGAAGAAGGCCUUCGGGUUGUAAAGCACUUUCAGUAGGGAGGAAGGGUUGAUGCCUAAUACGUAUCAACAUUGACGUUACCUACAGAAGAAGCACCGGCUAACUCCGUGCCAGCCGCCGCGGUAA
RNAcentral lists this ribosomal RNA (506 nucleotides) under uncultured bacterium. RNAcentral's name for it is "partial 16S ribosomal RNA". It matches the Rfam family "Bacterial small subunit ribosomal RNA", at positions 29 to 523 of the family's 1533-position model. The record is from RNAcentral.